GACGAACGCUGGCGGCGUGCUUAACACAUGCAAGUCGAACGAAGAGCGAUGGAAGCUUGCUUCUAUCAAUCUUAGUGGCGAACGGGUGAGUAACGCGUAAUCAACCUGCCCUUCAGAGGGGGACAACAGUUGGAAACGACUGCUAAUACCGCAUACGAUCUAAUCUCGGCGUCGAGGAUAGAUGAAAGGUGGCCUCUACAUGUAAGCUAUCACUGAAGGAGGGGAUUGCGUCUGAUUAGCUAGUUGGAGGGGUAACGGCCCACCAAGGCGAUGAUCAGUAGCCGGUCUGAGAGGAUGAACGGCCACAUUGGGACUGAGACACGGCCCAGACUCCUACGGGAGGCAGCAGUGGGGAAUCUUCCGCAAUGGACGAAAGUCUGACGGAGCAACGCCGCGGGAGCGAUGACGGCCUUCGGGUUGUAAAGCUCUGUUAAUCGGGACGAAAGGCCUUCUUGCGAAUAGUGAGAAGGAUUGACGGUACCGGAAUAGAAAGCCACGGCUAACUACGUG
RNAcentral lists this ribosomal RNA (510 nucleotides) under uncultured bacterium. RNAcentral describes it as "partial 16S ribosomal RNA". It matches the Rfam family "Bacterial small subunit ribosomal RNA", at positions 28 to 507 of the family's 1533-position model. The record is from RNAcentral.